Molecule: transfer RNA, 68 nt
Filed under: Hypoptychus dybowskii (Korean sandeel)
Lineage: Eukaryota; Metazoa; Chordata; Actinopteri; Perciformes; Hypoptychidae
Description: tRNA-His
Rfam family: tRNA
About the family: Transfer RNA (tRNA) molecules are approximately 80 nucleotides in length. Their secondary structure includes four short double-helical elements and three loops (D, anti-codon, and T loops). Further hydrogen bonds mediate the characteristic L-shaped molecular structure. tRNAs have two regions of fundamental functional importance: the anti-codon, which is responsible for specific mRNA codon recognition, and the 3' end, to which the tRNAs corresponding amino acid is attached (by aminoacyl-tRNA synthetases). tRNAs cope with the degeneracy of the genetic code in two manners: having more than one tRNA (with a specific anti-codon) for a particular amino acid; and 'wobble' base-pairing, i.e. permitting non-standard base-pairing at the 3rd anti-codon position.
Source: RNAcentral
GUAGGUGUAGUUUAACAAAAUGUUAGAUUGUGAUUCUAAAGACGGGGGUUACACUCCCCUCACCCACC